CCUAAAUUCUCAAAUUUAAAUUUUGAUUCUCAUUUUCAAUAAAUUUACGUUUUCUUAUAAUAAUUAUAAAAUUUUGUUAUCAUUUUGAAUAUAUCUACUCUCCAAGUUAUAGUAUAUUUUUUUUUGAAGAAUGUCAUAAAAAUGAUUGUGCAUCACAUAUCGCCCACAUUUAAAUACAUGUCAACCAAAACUGAUGGCACAAAGAAGUAUGAAGAUUUAUAAUUCUAAAAGAACUAGUUCAGAUGGCUAUAUGGACCAAAUAAAAGUUCAAGUGACCAAAUGAUAUUCUUAGAAAGUUCAAGGGAGCAUGUAUAUAUUCAGUCGUACUUUUUACCACUUGUACAAGUCAAUUCCAUAUUAGAGCAUUUGUCUUACACGCAUUCUCAGAAAUAAUAAAAGGAGAUUUAUGUGGUCCAAAAGAAUUAGUUCAGAUGACCAAGGACCAAACAAAUUUUCAAGUGCUUAAGUGAUUAUUAUCAGAAAGUUCAAGCACCAAACAUGCAUUCGUCC
RNAcentral lists this long non-coding RNA (510 nucleotides) under Ricinus communis (castor bean). RNAcentral's name for it is "long non-coding RNA (RCOM_LNC003743)". The record is from RNAcentral. Lineage: Eukaryota; Viridiplantae; Streptophyta; Magnoliopsida; Malpighiales; Euphorbiaceae.